GGGAAUAUUGGGCAAUGGCCGAGAGGCUGACCCAGCCAUGCCGCGUGCAGGAAGAAGGCCUUAUGGGUUGUAAACUGCUUUUAGCCGGGGCUAACGCUCUCCGUGCGAGGGGAGGUGAAGGUACCGGCGGAAUAAGGAGUGGCUACACGCGUGCAGGCAGCCGCGGUAAUACGGAGGAUCCGAGCGUUAUCCGGAUUCAUUGGGUUUAAAGGGUGCGCAGGCGGGGCUUUAAGUCCGCGGUGAAAGGCAUGGGCUCAACCCGUGCACUGCCAUGGAUACUGGAGUCCUAGAUCAUGGACGGCGUGGGCGGAAUAUGUCAAGUAGCGGUGAAAUGCGUAGAUAUGACAUAGAACACCGAUCGGGAAGCCGGCUCACGAGGCCAUGGAUGACGCUCAGGCACGAAAGCGUGGGGAUCAACCAGG
This 422-nucleotide ribosomal RNA is filed under the name uncultured bacterium. Its description in RNAcentral is "bacterial SSU rRNA". It matches the Rfam family "Bacterial small subunit ribosomal RNA", at positions 357 to 776 of the family's 1533-position model. The record is from RNAcentral.